This is a long non-coding RNA of Vespa velutina, 908 nucleotides long. RefSeq lists it as uncharacterized. Lineage: Eukaryota; Metazoa; Arthropoda; Insecta; Hymenoptera; Vespidae. The transcript has 3 exons. The record is from RefSeq and is a predicted model, not a curated record.
AUACCUUUUGUAUAGGGAGAAUGUUUAAUAGAGACAACCAUACACGAAUUCAUCAUUCUAACCUAUGCGAUAUAACAAUCAUUCGCAAUAUCUUUCGUUUUUUUAUGUGUGUAUCCCCGAUAAUCCUAAGAUCAAAGGGAAGCCCUGAAAAGCUUGCAAUAUGAACAGGACACGUCAUUUCUAUUAUAACGUGCACACGGUAAAAUGUAUCGGUAACGCGUACCUGUUGGGGGAGCAGGUACCAAACACAAAGUAUCAAGGGGAAGAAAAUAGAGGGAGUGGAAAUAAAAUGCACUGUACGCGUGACUGAACAGACGAUCUAUGUGAAAGGAUUAAUAGCAAAAAAGAAGAUGGAUUUUCUUUAAUCUUAUAUUAAAAAAGGGUCAUAAUGUAAUAUGAAGAACAGGAAGCAUAGAGCACCGACUUUAUCUUUCAUUUUGCUCACCUGUCUUCAUGAAUGGCGUGAACUUUCAACCACAACGCCCGGACGCACUUGCGCGACCGAACGUAUCCUAUUGCGUAUUCGAAAUGGUUUUUUUGCGAGGAAGGAAAACCGUACCUGUCGUUCCACAGAACUGCACAGACGGUGAAGGCACCAAAGAGGAGAAAAAAUCGGAGUAACACACUCCGACAAAAUUUGUAUAUUUGUUGUCUGAUGGUUGGAGUGUCGGUUGUCUGCUGCUGUGGUCGCCUUGGCUACGGCAUCACUGACCGCGUCAUGACCAGGAGCGUAACUGGCGUUUUCUUUCUCCUACGCCUUUUUCUUUUUGAUAUUUUUUAAACACCAUCCUUUCAGAAAGAAAUUAUAAUUAAGGAAGUUUGCAUUUUUCUGUCAAUUAAUCUUGUUAUAUUAUAUAAUAUAGAUUUACCUUAAAACUUUUCAUUAUAUAUAAUAUUAUAUUAAAUAA